Molecule: long non-coding RNA, 1744 nt
Organism: Hylaeus volcanicus
Lineage: Eukaryota; Metazoa; Arthropoda; Insecta; Hymenoptera; Colletidae
Exons: 5
Source: RefSeq, a predicted model, not a curated record
UUCCGGCAAACGAGGUAAAACGAAUAGUGUUGUUUUUCGGAUCCAUUUUCGAAUGGGAGUACUUACAGGAAAUCCGAGCACCAUAAAACUUUAAAGGUACUGGAAGUGGUAUUACCUUACUAGCAGUCUUGCAGUAAUGUAACUUUUCUUCUGUGUUGUCCCGUUCUUUUCUCCAAAAAUGGGAGUUUUCCAGAAUUACACAAGCUGGUCUAAAAUAGUGUUAGCGGAAAAGAAAAUCUGUAUCUGGAGUCUACAUCAUAAAAAUCAUCUGCAAGUCGCUUUCCAAAUGCUUUCCGAGUAGCUGACCCCAUUUUCACGCUAGCUUCAACCAUUCGCAACCGAUUUUGGACAUUCAGUAAUGGGUGUCAACGAAUCAAUAUUUUAUUAAAAAAUUUAGAGAAGGAACCUAUAUCUUUGUAAUUUAAUAUAACUCCUAGUUCCCGUUUAACAUUGACUCCGUUAAUGCAAUCAAAUAGUUUAACAACACGUCACGGUGAUUGGUGCCAAAUUCUAACGUACGUUGUCAUGUCGACAGGGCAACACAAAGUUCAAAUGAUACUUAUGUGGACGAAAUUGAUCGAUGCACUUUCAAUACGAUUGCUGUUGAGAGAGGAUCUAUAUUGGAAAUAGAAGAGAUGUUUUUAAAAUUUUUAAAGAAUUCUUUUCUUGGAAUUUCGGGACUGAUUCCAUCUUUUGUCAUGCGCAUGCCAAUGUAUUUGGUUUGACGACGUUUCGUCAUCUGAGAGUUUUGUCGUUUUCCAUUAACUUCUACUAUCCUAUUCUAUUUGAAUUGUUAAAAAUUUUUCUGUAUCAUUCUUCUCCCCCACUCUUUCAACCCUAUCCUUUCGUUAGGUUUAUGUGACGUUCUAACGUUUGACUCUUGUGGUAACGAAGAAAAGAGUCCUCAAGAUAGAAAAACGCUUUUAGAAUGAUUUUUAAGAUGACUGUGCACAAUAUUUCACUUACGCCUCGUCCUUCGUCAUUAAUGGCCGUGAAAAGCACCUAGAGUGAUAAAAUACCUCCUUAAGAGAACGUAGUAAUUGGACCAUCAUGCGGGCGAUUGCUUGAAUGUAUUUAUUCCAAUACGUUGCACGGCACUGCGUUGCGGAUUACCUUGGUAGUGUGUUAAAUAUCUUAACAACAUCAAAUAAUGCAAUACUUAAAUGUUCUGCAUUUUUUUAACCUCGUGUACUGCUAGAUAUGGGUGGAGAAUCUAUCUUUUUAUGAACAAUUUUUUCCUAAAAAAUUGCUUUGAAAUUACGCAUGCUAACCCAUUUUUCUUCCUAGAUAUAUCAAACAUUCGGUUGGCUAUCAUUUUCUUGAAAAAAAAUUUCUUCCACAAAUAGCAAUGUUAACAGCGGCACUUCUAGCACUCUAUUGUAUAGUUGGUUUUUAAUAUCAUUACAAUGUAUCCUGUUGUUAUGAUAUAAUACGUUAAUUCGAAAAAUUUGUUAAAUUUUUUGCUGAAGUACGAUAUUGCUGCAUUUCUGUAUUGAAACGACUCGUACCUUCUAUGGGUGUAUCGAUCAAUGCGUUGGGCUUUUUCGUAAAGGAAUAUCAUGAAAUGGAUGCAAAGGUUUAUUUUUGACAAACGUGUUUCUGAGAUUUUUGAGUUGGAGCGUUGACCAUCAAACAUUGUGCGGUUGAGAUUGCCGUGUGUGCAGUUUAAUCAGCGUCAGAGAUUGGAGUUCAUUACAUUUGCAUAUGUUUGAAUUACUUUUUCAUCAUUCACUCCAAUAAUUUG